Molecule: ribosomal RNA, 1470 nt
Filed under: metagenome
Description: bacterial SSU rRNA
Rfam family: Bacterial small subunit ribosomal RNA
Source: RNAcentral
AGAGUUUGAUCCUGGCUCAGGACGAACGCUGGCGGCACGCUUAACACAUGCAAGUCGAACGAGAGAAGAGGAGCUUGCUUUUCUGAUCUAGUGGCGGACGGGUGAGUAACACGUGAGCAAUCUGCCUUUCAGAGGGGGAUACCGAUUGGAAACGAUCGUUAAUACCGCAUAACAUAAUUGAACCGCAUGAUUUGAUUAUCAAAGAUUUAUCGCUGAAAGAUGAGCUCGCGUCUGAUUAGCUAGUUGGUAAGGUAACGGCUUACCAAGGCGACGAUCAGUAGCCGGACUGAGAGGUUGAUCGGCCACAUUGGGACUGAGACACGGCCCAGACUCCUACGGGAGGCAGCAGUGGGGAAUAUUGCACAAUGGAGGAAACUCUGAUGCAGCGAUGCCGCGUGAGGGAAGAAGGUUUUAGGAUUGUAAACCUCUGUCUUCAGGGACGAAAAAAGACGGUACCUGAGGAGGAAGCUCCGGCUAACUACGUGCCAGCAGCCGCGGUAAUACGUAGGGAGCGAGCGUUGUCCGGAAUUACUGGGUGUAAAGGGAGCGUAGGCGGGAUCGCAAGUCAGAUGUGAAAACUAUGGGCUUAACCCAUAAACUGCAUUUGAAACUGUGGUUCUUGAGUGAAGUAGAGGUAAGCGGAAUUCCUAGUGUAGCGGUGAAAUGCGUAGAUAUUAGGAGGAACAUCAGUGGCGAAGGCGGCUUACUGGGCUUUAACUGACGCUGAGGCUCGAAAGCGUGGGGAGCAAACAGGAUUAGAUACCCUGGUAGUCCACGCCGUAAACGAUGAUUACUAGGUGUGGGGGGACUGACCCCUUCCGUGCCGCAGCAAACGCAAUAAGUAAUCCACCUGGGGGGUACGACCGCAAGGUUGAAACUCAAAGGAAUUGACGGGGGCCCGCACAAGCAGUGGAGUAUGUGGAUUAAUUCGAAGCAACGCGAAGAACCUUACCAGGUCUUGACAUCGUAUGCAUAGCUCAGAGAUGAGUGAAAUCUCUUCGGAGACAUAUAGACAGGUGGUGCAUGGUUGUCGUCAGCUCGUGUCGUGAGAUGUUGGGUUAAGUCCCGCAACGAGCGCAACCCUUACUGUUAGUUGCUACGCAAGAGCACUCUAGCAGGACUGCCGUUGACAAAACGGAGGAAGGUGGGGAUGACGUCAAAUCAUCAUGCCCCUUAUGACCUGGGCCUCACACGUACUACAAUGGCUGUCAACAGAGGGAAGCAAAGCCGCGAGGUGGAGCGAACCCCUAAAAGCAGUCUUAGUUCGGAUUGUAGGCUGCAACCCGCCUACAUGAAGUCGGAAUUGCUAGUAAUCGCAGAUCAGCAUGCUGCGGUGAAUACGUUCCCGGGCCUUGUACGCACCGCCCGUCACGCCAUGGGAGUCGGUAACACCCGAAGCCUGUAGUCUAACCGCAAGGAGGACGCAGUCGAAGGUGGGAUUGAUGACUGGGGUGAAGUCGUAACAAGGUA